Tympanuchus pallidicinctus (lesser prairie-chicken) is the source of this 635-nucleotide long non-coding RNA. RefSeq lists it as uncharacterized. NCBI's taxonomy places the organism in Eukaryota, Metazoa, Chordata, Aves, Galliformes, Phasianidae. The transcript is spliced from 5 exons. The record is from RefSeq and is a predicted model, not a curated record.
AGGUUGAGCCACAGCAGUGAAAUUGAUUUUGCUUCAGCAACUGGAUUUUCAGCUUGAGCUGUGGUAGCAUUUGGAGCAGAGUCUGUGCAGGGUAUCAGGAGGCAGCAGACUUGAACAACUGCUUGGAUAGGAACAGAGCCUGAGAAAUUGCAGUGCUGGGAGCAGUUGGCCAUGUAACCAAGGAUCAACAGAGUAUUAAGAAGGCUUACUCUGAGUUUGUUCUGACCUACCUAGAGGAACUAAAUGAAAGAGGAGAUGACCCAGACAAAAAGCUGCAUUCACCAUUGGGCCUAGUCUUCAGUGCAUCAGGAGACAGAAUCGGCAGCUCAGCUGAAGGGGUCACAGUAUAAAGCCAGAGGCAGGUUCUGCAAAAAAAUAUCAGCAAUCUCAGUCAGAAACAACUUUCAGGACCUUUGGACGCCCAUUUAAUGCCUGCAGAUCCCCUAGGGGAGACUACACAGCUGACAGUGGCACUGGUGAGGAAACUAGAAGAGAAACAUCCUAAGGCCUCAGCUCAAAGUGCCUCCUGACUAGUUCAGAACUCGUCCAUAUGAAGUUAAAGAAAGGGGCUGAGCAGUGAUACCAAUCAUUGCUCAUGACUGAUGUGUGAAACUUUUUCUCCAGAUGCUAAUUGU